ACUCANUNCCCNCGUUUUUUCUAUCUCCNAAUACUUUAUACUNAAGUUGUGCAUGUAAAAAGUCUCGGUGUGUAUNUCUGGCGGUGUCGCGCUGNCCNGUCUCUGUAGGGCGCGNNCUGUUGGUUUAUCCUGUCAUCCUUGGGGAGAGCGGUUCUUUCUUUNAGCUGUCGGUUUCGGCUUCCCUAUCUUUCACUGGUAAAAAAUUAGAGUGUUAAAGGCACGCUUUGUCCUUGAUUACAUUAGCAUGUAAUAAUAAGUUACGACACUUGUUUGUCUUUUUUUGUUGUUUUGCACGCCAAGGUAUAUGAUAUAUAUGGGAUAGUAUGGGGGUAUUCUUAGUUCAAUUGUUCUGAGGUGAAAUUCUGUGAUUUAUGAAAAUCGUACUACUGCGAACGCAUUUACCAAGGAUGUUUUCAUUAAUCAUGAACGAAUGUUAGUGGAUCGAUGGUGAUUAGAUCCCAUCGUAGUCUUAACCAUAAACUAUCCCGACUAGGGAUCGGUGGGUUCUUUUUUAGCCCUCAUCGUCACCUUAUGAGAAAUUAAAGUUUUUGGGUUCCGGGGGGAGUAUGAUCGUUAGGAUGAUACUUAAUGAAAUUGACGGAAGGGCACCACCAGGAGUGGUACUGCGGCUUUAUUUGUUUCAACACGGGAAACUUACCAGGUCCAGACAUAGUAAGGAUUGACAGAUUGAGAGCUCUUUUUUGAUUCUAUGGGUGGUGGUGCAUGGUCCGUUCUUAGUUGGUGGUAGUGAUUUGUCUGGUAUAUACCGUUAACGAAGCGAGACCCCCGCCUGCUUAAAUAGUAAUGGGAAUGCUUAGCAUUGUCAGAGACUUCUUAGAGGGACUUUCGGCGCUAGGCCGAAGGAAGUUGGGGCAAUAACAGGUCUGUGAUGCCCAAGGCGAAUUCGUUAAACCU
RNAcentral lists this ribosomal RNA (915 nucleotides) under uncultured Nannochloropsis. RNAcentral's name for it is "bacterial SSU rRNA". It matches the Rfam family "Eukaryotic small subunit ribosomal RNA", at positions 639 to 1488 of the family's 1831-position model. Lineage: Eukaryota; Eustigmatophyceae; Eustigmatales; Monodopsidaceae. The record is from RNAcentral.